Molecule: non-coding RNA, 202 nt
Organism: Cinara cedri
Lineage: Eukaryota; Metazoa; Arthropoda; Insecta; Hemiptera; Aphididae
Source: the annotation of a GenBank genome assembly
UCUCCCCAGCUGUUUGUAGGCUUAAGUUUCAUGUUUUCACAGGAAAUACCGGGUUUUAAAUAUCCCUACAGACUAAAAUGUAAUGAAACUCUAAAAACAAUAACUAUUUUAGAUCAAUUAUAAAAAAAAAUGAAAUAUUGUAACGGCGACAAAUCGUCUAGGGAAAAUAUCACUCUAGUGACGGUACUCUGUUGCUUACGGG